RNAcentral lists this ribosomal RNA (440 nucleotides) under uncultured bacterium. RNAcentral's name for it is "partial 16S ribosomal RNA". It matches the Rfam family "Bacterial small subunit ribosomal RNA", at positions 338 to 795 of the family's 1533-position model. The record is from RNAcentral.
CCUACGGGUGGCAGCAGUGGGGGAUAUUGCACAAUGGGGGGAACCCUGAUGCAGCGACGCCGCGUGGGUGAAGGAGGGUUUCGGCGCGUAAAGCUCUAUCGGCAAGGAAGAAGAUGACGGUACCUGACCAAGAAGCCCCGGCUAACUACGUGCCAGCAGCCGCGGUAAUACGUAGGGGGCAAGCGUUAUCCGGAUUUACUGGGGGUAAAGGGGGCGGAGGCGGCACUGGAAGCCAGGAGUGAAAGCGCGGGGGCCAACCCCGGGACUGCUUUUGAAACUGCAGGGCUGGAGUACAGGAGGGGCAGGCGGAAUGCCUAGUGUAGCGGUGAAAUGCGUAGAUAUUAGGAGGAACACCGGUGGCGAAGGCGGCCUGCUGGACUGUAACUGACGUUGAGGCCCGAAAGCGUGGGGAGCAAACAGGAUUAGAUACCCUAGUAGUC